UCCGGUUUGACACCGGCAGUCUCCCAUGAGUCCCCACCAUUACGUGUUGGCAACUAGGGACAGGGGUUGCGCUCGUUGCGCCACUUAAGGCAACACCUCACGGCACGAGCUGACGACAACCAUGCAGCACCUUGUAAUCUGCCCGAAGGAAAGGGUGUUUCCACCCCUGUCAGACUACAUUUAAGCCCUGGUAAGGUUCCUCGCGUAUCAUCGAAUUAAACCACAUGCUCCACCGCUUGUGCGGGCCCCCGUCAAUUCCUUUGAGUUUCAUUCUUGCGAACGUACUCCCCAGGUGGGAUACUUAUCACUUUCGCUUAGCCACUGAGCCGAAGCCCAACAGCUAGUAUCCAUCGUUUACGGCGUGGACUAC
RNAcentral lists this unclassified non-coding RNA (370 nucleotides) under uncultured Flavobacteriaceae bacterium. RNAcentral's name for it is "contains 16S-23S intergenic spacer region". The record is from RNAcentral. Lineage: Bacteria; Pseudomonadati; Bacteroidota; Flavobacteriia; Flavobacteriales; Flavobacteriaceae.